AUCAAAUCCAAGCAGCGGCCCUCUACAUGUGGACUGUGAAAACACAAGACUGCUGCAGCCAAAAUCCAGGAAGGACAGAGCAUCUGAAAACAAGAAACAAGACCAGAUCAGUUCUUCCAUCCCUAAGGUGCAUGGCAACCCCUCAAGGCUGGAAGAUGAUCAGGAAUCCAAUUAUAGAGGAUUACAAGGAUAAGAUGCCCACUGUAUCAGCCGUCCUGCAACACAUAAGGUGUAGAAAGAGAGUGAGGAUGGCAGCAUGUGACUGUAUUUCCCCAGAAGACAAACACGACGUCUCCGACCACUGAAACAGGUGAAUUGCAUCAGAAACCGAGCAUCAGAAACAGAGUCAAUACAGUGUUCAGUGCUCAGUGUUCCUGUGUGACAAGUUCUCCUCAAGACUGGAGAGACUGGAGGUCAGAGAGCUUGUACCCUGGCCGUCUCCCCCAGGGUCCUUCCAACAAGGUGGGAAGGGGGGUCAGCCGAAGCGAUCACAUGGA
Long non-coding RNA from Cyprinus carpio (common carp), 497 nucleotides. RefSeq lists it as uncharacterized. The record is from RefSeq and is a predicted model, not a curated record. The transcript has 4 exons. Lineage: Eukaryota; Metazoa; Chordata; Actinopteri; Cypriniformes; Cyprinidae.